CAGAGUAGUAUUAUAUCAGAAAAACCAACAUAAAGCAAGCGUUGGUUGGUAUGAACAACCCAACUGACCAAAGUGGUGUUGCUCUAUGUUGAUCAACCCUAAUUUGUGCGUCUCUUGAAGAAGGGCAACAUAUUCUCUGGGAAGCACCAUUUCAUGCCCAGUAACAACAACAACAACAACAACUACUACCUAGUACAGUCCCACAAAGUGGGGUCUGGGGAAGGUAAUAUGUAGACGGGCCUUACCCCUACCCGAAAGGGCAGAGAGGUUGUUUCCAAUCGACCAUCAGCUCAGUGAAGGAAAGGAAAAACAAAAGAGCAUUAGUAACUCAGCAGAAAUAUCCUAAAUAAUUAUCUAAACAUAAGAACCAUAAAUAAAAUACCAUGCAAUAAUAUCAGACAGUAACUACCAUAAAUAACUACCAUAAGGGAAACACAAUCCAAUACACAAAUCAUCAAUGGAUAGCCCUGCCAAGCCUCACCCAACCCCGGGUAAGGAGUACAAAAAACUAUAAGGGCCCCUAUCCUACAACCCUGAUACUAAACCUCCAGAAUUUCCUAUCAAGGGCCAUGUCCUCAGAAAUCCGCAUCCUAGCCAUGUCAUGCCUAAUCAUCUCUCCCCAAUACCUCUUAGGCCUCUCUCUGCAUCAAGGGUCAUGUCCUUGGAAACCCGCAUUCUAGCCAUGUCAUGCCUAAUAGAAAACUUGCAACAAAUAAAAAUGCGAUCAUUGCCUUCCGAGUGGUCACGGGAAAGAGAGCACAUGUGACUUAAUUGUAAACCCCUUCUUUGAAUAUUUCUUUGCGUAAGGCAAGCCUCUCUAGAAGCUAUUUCAAAUAUUCUUUCAUAGUUAUUUGGAGCUUCUCUUGUGGAGCCAAAAGUUCUGCAGUAGUUUUUGAUUGUAAAUUUGUCACUUUGUUGUCUUUGGUGCAAUUAACUAUCGGAUGAUAUACUUGGAAAAACGAAAUGAUU
This 969-nucleotide long non-coding RNA is filed under the name Nicotiana benthamiana. Its description in RNAcentral is "long non-coding RNA (NBEN_LNC037255)". Lineage: Eukaryota; Viridiplantae; Streptophyta; Magnoliopsida; Solanales; Solanaceae. The record is from RNAcentral.